Molecule: ribosomal RNA, 1393 nt
Filed under: Streptomyces sp. SA3_actF
Lineage: Bacteria; Bacillati; Actinomycetota; Actinomycetes; Kitasatosporales; Streptomycetaceae
Also listed under: 1 other name
Description: bacterial LSU rRNA
Rfam family: Bacterial large subunit ribosomal RNA
Source: RNAcentral
CCUGAGACCUGAUGCCGAGCCGAUUGUGGUGAAGUGGAUGAUCCUAUGCUGUCGAGAAAAGCCUCUAGCGAGUUUCAUGGCGGCCCGUACCCUAAACCGACUCAGGUGGUCUGGUAGAGAAUACCGAGGCGUUCGGGUGAACUAUGGUUAAGGAACUCGGCAAAAUGCCCCCGUAACUUCGGGAGAAGGGGGGCCACACCUGGUGAUCACUUUUGCAGUGUGAGCUGGGGGUGGCCGCAGAGACCAGCGAGAAGCGACUGUUUACUAAAAACACAGGUCCGUGCGAAGCCGUAAGGCGAUGUAUACGGACUGACGCCUGCCCGGUGCUGGAACGUUAAGGGGACCGGUUAGCUGACUUUCGGGUUGGCGAAGCUGAGAACUUAAGCGCCAGUAAACGGCGGUGGUAACUAUAACCAUCCUAAGGUAGCGAAAUUCCUUGUCGGGUAAGUUCCGACCUGCACGAAUGGCGUAACGACUUCUCGACUGUCUCAACCAUAGGCCCGGUGAAAUUGCAUUACGAGUAAAGAUGCUCGUUUCGCGCAGCAGGACGGAAAGACCCCGGGACCUUUACUACAGUUUGAUAUUGGUGUUCGGUUCGGCUUGUGUAGGAUAGGUGGGAGACUGUGAAGCGGCCACGCCAGUGGUUGUGGAGUCGUUGUUGAAAUACCACUCUGGUCGUGCUGGAUGUCUAACCCGGGUCCGUGAUCCGGAUCGGGGACAGUGUCUGAUGGGUAGUUUAACUGGGGCGGUUGCCUCCUAAAGAGUAACGGAGGCGCCCAAAGGUUCCCUCAGCCUGGUUGGUAAUCAGGUGGUGAGUGUAAGUGCACAAGGGAGCUUGACUGUGAGACCGACGGGUCGAGCAGGGACGAAAGUCGGGACUAGUGAUCCGGCGGUGGCUUGUGGAAGCGCCGUCGCUCAACGGAUAAAAGGUACCCCGGGGAUAACAGGCUGAUCUUCCCCAAGAGUCCAUAUCGACGGGAUGGUUUGGCACCUCGAUGUCGGCUCGUCGCAUCCUGGGGCUGGAGUCGGUCCCAAGGGUUGGGCUGUUCGCCCAUUAAAGCGGUACGCGAGCUGGGUUUAGAACGUCGUGAGACAGUUCGGUCCCUAUCCGCUGUGCGCGUAGGAAUAUUGAGAAGGGCUGUCCCUAGUACGAGAGGACCGGGACGGACGAACCUCUGGUGUGCCAGUUGUUCUGCCAAGGGCAUGGCUGGUUGGCUACGUUCGGGAGGGAUAACCGCUGAAAGCAUCUAAGCGGGAAGCCUGCUUCGAGAUGAGUAUUCCCACCUCCUUGAGAGGGUAAGGCUCCCAGUAGACGACUGGGUUGAUAGGCCGGAUAUGGAAGCCCUGUAAGGGGUGGAGUUGACCGGUACUAAUAGGCCGAGGGCUUGUCCUC